This 254-nucleotide ribosomal RNA is filed under the name uncultured bacterium. RNAcentral describes it as "partial 16S ribosomal RNA". It matches the Rfam family "Bacterial small subunit ribosomal RNA", at positions 100 to 353 of the family's 1533-position model. The record is from RNAcentral.
GACGGGUGAGUAACGCGUGGGUAACCUGCCUCACACUGGGGGAUAACAGUUAGAAAUAGCUGCUAAUACCGCAUAAGCGCACAGCUCCGCAUGGAGCAGUGUGAAAAACUCCGGUGGUACAAGAUGGACCCGCGUCUGAUUAGCUGGUUGGUGAGGUAACGGCCCACCAAGGCGACGAUCAGUAGCCGGCCUGAGAGGGUGAACGGCCACAUUGGGACUGAGACACGGCCCAAACUCCUACGGGAGGCAGCAUG